RNAcentral lists this non-coding RNA (154 nucleotides) under Eutreptiella gymnastica. Lineage: Eukaryota; Euglenozoa; Euglenophyceae; Eutreptiales; Eutreptiaceae. The record is from RNAcentral.
UGGGGGCCUAGUUGGUAAGGGUGGUGGGGUGGGUACCCUACUGCUGUCUGGGUGGGGACUUGCCGCGCACCCUGUGGAAUCAGGUGUCCUAGGCGAGGGGACAGCCUUUGUUGGAGCGCUGUGCUCCCCGUUGGAAUGAGUGGGGGCGUACCGC